Podarcis lilfordi (Lilford's wall lizard) is the source of this 73-nucleotide non-coding RNA. The record is from the annotation of a GenBank genome assembly. NCBI's taxonomy places the organism in Eukaryota, Metazoa, Chordata, Lepidosauria, Squamata, Lacertidae.
GCCUUGGUAGUUCAGCUGGUGGAGCAUGAGACUCUUAAUCUCAGGUCUGUAGGUUCAAGCCCCACGUUGCGCA